UCUGCCUUCCUGAAUAAGUUAAUGCCAUUAUCAUAGGAGUAAGUUUGUUAUCUCGGGAAUUCAGCCCCCUUUCUCUCUGUGUCUUGCACCUGCCUCACCAUGUGAUGCCUUCUGCCAUGUUAGGAUGUAGCAAGAAGGCCCUCACCACCUGUGGCCGUACAGUCUUGGACCUUCCAGCCUACAGGACCCUGAGACACACAAAUCUCUCUUCUUUAUAAAUUACCUAGUCUAUAGUAUUCUAUUACAGCAGCAAAAACAGACUAAGACACUGGUCUUUUACUUUUGAUUUUGUUUCUAUUGAUUUUUACUAGGUACAUCUAAUUUCACCUCUUGAAGAUGGCUGACAUGGUCACUGAACUGAAGCUUUGUGGUGAAGAAACUAUUAAGCAAAUGGGGAGGAAGAGCCAUACAAUUUCACUUUAGAUGAAGAGAGCUACCCUUAUCACCACAUAUGGAGAGCCAGCACCAAGAUGAGUCAGUAUAAAAAGACCUUACUAAAAUAACCCUUACUUUCAGUAGUUUCCUGAUAUAUUUGCUAGUCACUUUCCCACAAGUUAUCACCCCUAGAAGCCUAAAACCCUUCUCCUUUGUCUAGUCACUUCUUUAAAAUUUAUUGCCUUUUGUUAAAAUGGUAUGUAAUCUCUUAAGCCUAACUGCUUCUUUGUUUUUUUUUAUUUUUUUACUUCUUUUUUUUUAUGAAGCCCUUGUGCACACAAAAUUAAAAAUAUUAAUACUA
Molecule: long non-coding RNA, 736 nt
Organism: Homo sapiens (human)
Lineage: Eukaryota; Metazoa; Chordata; Mammalia; Primates; Hominidae
Exons: 2
Source: RefSeq, a predicted model, not a curated record